RNAcentral lists this ribosomal RNA (253 nucleotides) under uncultured bacterium. RNAcentral's name for it is "partial 16S ribosomal RNA". It matches the Rfam family "Bacterial small subunit ribosomal RNA", at positions 524 to 776 of the family's 1533-position model. The record is from RNAcentral.
UACGUAGGGUGCAAGCGUUGUCCGGAAUUAUUGGGCGUAAAGAGCUCGUAGGCGGUUUGUCGCGUCUGCUGUGAAAACUGGAGGCUCAACCUCCAGCCUGCAGUGGGUACGGGCAGACUAGAGUGCGGUAGGGGAGAUUGGAAUUCCUGGUGUAGCGGUGGAAUGCGCAGAUAUCAGGAGGAACACCGAUGGCGAAGGCAGAUCUCUGGGCCGAUACUGACGCUGAGGAGCGAAAGCGUGGGGAGCGAACAGG